UGGGUUCAUAUAUUUGUAAAUCUGACUCUGAAAAGGUCAGUGCCUCACCAGCCACGGGCCUCACUACACGUCUCUGAUACCUAUGUAUGUUGUGUCUUUAUAUUCAAUGAAAAAUAAUAUUUUUUGUGUUUGCAUGCGUCCGUGAGUCUGUGUGUCAACUGAAGACAUCUGAUAAGAGUGUCUUCACUCUGAUAAGAGUUUCAACUGUCACUUCCUGACACUGAUGAUAUCAGAUUUGCAGGCUGACGACUGCUCAGAAUUAAAACAUGCAACGUGUUUUUUCCAGCUGAUAUAUCAGAGCCGACUCCUGAGAGCAGACGUAUCUGAAGCUGUCAGGGAGGAACCAUGGCGACCAUCUCUGAACCGGACCCUGGACUCUCUGAGGAACCUGGGGACACGUCUUUGGACCGGAGGGAGCGCAGGAAGAGAAGAUUUGCUGGUAGAGCAAAGAAGAAGGCUAAGUCCAGACGCCGUGGAAGCCGUCAGAGAGUAACAAUGGUCACCAUCUCUGAACCGAACCCUGGGCUCUCUGAGGACCCUGAGGACACGUCUUUGGACCGGGAGGAGACCAGGAAGAGAAGAUUUGCUCUAUGGUUUCACAUCACUGUCAUUGUGAGCAUCGGACUGCUGAGUAUUCUCCUCAUCUCCCUGCGCUUCAGUGAGUCUAAAUCAUAUCCUCCUAAACAGAAUAACAAUACAGUAUAAUCAUAUCAUUGAUUGUAUUAAUAGCAAUGAUAAUGUUAGAUAUUGUUUUUGUUAGAUUUAGUGAUAAUAAUAGGGUUAGCACACAUACACCGCACGCACACACAUAAACACAGCAUA
Molecule: long non-coding RNA, 822 nt
Organism: Gadus morhua (Atlantic cod)
Lineage: Eukaryota; Metazoa; Chordata; Actinopteri; Gadiformes; Gadidae
Exons: 3
Source: RefSeq, a predicted model, not a curated record